GGUGGGGUGGCUGAGUGGUUGAAGGCGACAGUCUUGAAAACUGUUGUACUCGCAAGGGUACCGUGAGUUCGAAUCUCACCCCCACCGCCA
This 90-nucleotide transfer RNA is filed under the name bacterium. RNAcentral describes it as "tRNA-Ser". It matches the Rfam family "tRNA". Rfam says of the family: Transfer RNA (tRNA) molecules are approximately 80 nucleotides in length. Their secondary structure includes four short double-helical elements and three loops (D, anti-codon, and T loops). The record is from RNAcentral.